CCAAUAGCGUAUAUUAAAGUUGCUGCAGUUAAAAAGCUCGUAGUUGAAUUUCGGGACCAUCAUGUCGGUCGUGCCUCGGUACGUACUGGCAUUGUUGGUUUCUACCUUCUGACGAACCAUGAUGUCAUUUAUUUGGUGUCGUGGGAAAUCAGGACUGUUACUUUGAAAAAAUUAGAGUGUUUAAAGCAGGCUCACGCUUGAAUACAUUAGCAUGGAAUAAUGAAAUAGGACGUUUGAUUCUAUUUUGUUGGUUUCUAGGAUCGACGUAAUGAUUAAUAGGGAUAGUUGGGGGCAUUAGUAUUCAAUUGUCAGAGGUGAAAUUCUUGGAUUUAUUGAAGACUAACUACUGCGAAAGCAUUUGCCAAGGAUGUUUUCAUUAAUCAAGAACGAAAGUUAGGGGAUCGAAGACGAUCAGAUACCGUCGUAGUCUUAACCAUAAACUAUGCCGACUAGGGAUCGGAUGAUGUUAAUUUUUUAAUGACUCAUUCGGCGCCUUACGGAAAACUAAAGUGUUUGGGUUC
Molecule: ribosomal RNA, 521 nt
Filed under: uncultured Glomus
Lineage: Eukaryota; Fungi; Glomeromycota; Glomeromycetes; Glomerales; Glomeraceae
Description: SSU rRNA
Rfam family: Eukaryotic small subunit ribosomal RNA
Source: RNAcentral